UGGGGAAUUUUGGACAAUGGGGGCAACCCUGAUCCAGCCAUGCCGCGUGAGUGAUGAAGGCCUUCGGGUUGUAAAGCUCUUUAGUCCGGAACGAAACGGUCSAAGUGAACAACUUGAGCUAAUGACGGUACCGGAAGAAUAAGCACCGGCUAACUACGUGCCAGCAGCCGCGGUAAUACGUAGGGUGCGAGCGUUAAUCGGAAUUACUGGGCGUAAAGCGUGCGCAGGCGGUUUCGUAAGCCAGACGUGAAAUCCCCGGGCUUAACCUGGGAAUGGCGUUUGAGACUGCGAGGCUUGAGUUYGGCAGAGGGGGGUGGAAUUCCACGUGUAGCAGUGAAAUGCGUAGAUAUGUGGAGGAACACCGAUGGCGAAGGCAGCCCCCUGGGUCGCGACUGACGCUCAUGCACGAAAGCGUGGGGAGCAAACAGGAUUAGAUACCCUGGUAGUCCACGCCCUAAACGAUGUCAACUAGUUGUCGGGGAGGGAGACCUCUUUGGUAACGCAGCUAACGCGCGAAGUUGACCGCCUGGGGAGUACGGUCGCAAGAUUA
RNAcentral lists this ribosomal RNA (550 nucleotides) under uncultured Gammaproteobacteria bacterium. Its description in RNAcentral is "bacterial SSU rRNA". It matches the Rfam family "Bacterial small subunit ribosomal RNA", at positions 355 to 896 of the family's 1533-position model. Lineage: Bacteria; Pseudomonadati; Pseudomonadota; Gammaproteobacteria. The record is from RNAcentral.